CAGGCUUAACACAUGCAAGUCGAGGGGCAGCAUGGUCUUAGCUUGCUAAGGCCGAUGGCGACCGGCGCACGGGUGAGUAACACGUAUCCAACCUGCCGUCUACUCUUGGACAGCCUUCUGAAAGGAAGAUUAAUACAAGAUGGCAUCAUGAGUCCACAUGUUCACAUGAUUAAAGGUAUUCCGGUAGACGAUGGGGAUGCGUUCCAUUAGAUAGUAGGCGGGGUAACGGCCCACCUAGUCUUCGAUGGAUAGGGGUUCUGAGAGGAAGGUCCCCCACAUUGGAACUGAGACACGGUCCAAACUCCUACGGGAGGCAGCAGUGAGGAAUAUUGGUCAAUGGGCGAGAGCCUGAACCAGCCAAGUAGCGUGAAGGAUGACUGCCCUAUGGGUUGUAAACUUCUUUUAUAAAGGAAUAAAGUCGGGUAUGCAUACCCGUUUGCAUGUACUUUAUGAAUAAGGAUCGGCUAACUCCGUGCCAGCAGCCGCGGUAAUACGGAGGAUCCGAGCGUUAUCCGGAUUUAUUGGGUUUAAAGGGAGCGUAGAUGGAUGUUUAAGUCAGUUGUGAAAGUUUGCGGCUCAACCGUAAAAUUGCAGUUGAUACUGGAUAUCUUGAGUGCAGUUGAGGCAGGCGGAAUUCGUGGUGUAGCGGUGAAAUGCUUAGAUAUCACGAAGAACUCCGAUUGCGAAGGCAGCCUGCUAAGCUGCAACUGACAUUGAGGCUCGAAAGUGUGGGUAUCAAACAGGAUUAGAUACCCUGGUAGUCCACACGGUAAACGAUGAAUACUCGCUGUUUGCGAUAUACUGCAAGCGGCCAAGCGAAAGCGUUAAGUAUUCCACCUGGGGAGUACGCCGGCAACGGUGAAACUCAAAGGAAUUGACGGGGGCCCGCACAAGCGGAGGAACAUGUGGUUUAAUUCGAUGAUACGCGAGGAACCUUACCCGGGCUUAAAUUGCAGAUGAAUUACGGUGAAAGCCGUAAGCCGCAAGGCAUCUGUGAAGGUGCUGCAUGGUUGUCGUCAGCUCGUGCCGUGAGGUGUCGGCUUAAGUGCCAUAACGAGCGCAACCCUUGUUGUCAGCUACUAACAGGUUCUGCUGAGGACUCUGACAAGACUGCCAUCGUAAGAUGUGAGGAAGGUGGGGAUGACGUCAAAUCAGCACGGCCCUUACGUCCGGGGCUACACACGUGUUACAAUGGGGGGUACAGAGGGCCGCUACCACGCGAGUGGAUGCCAAUCCCAAAAACCUCUCUCAGUUCGGACUGGAGUCUGCAACCCGACUCCACGAAGCUGGAUUCGCUAGUAAUCGCGCAUCAGCCACGGCGCGGUGAAUACGUUCCCGGGCCUUGUACACACCGCCCGUCAAGCCAUGGGAGCCGGGGGUACCUGAAGUGCGUAACCGCGAGGAGCGCCCUAGGGUAAAACUGGUGACUGGGGC
Molecule: ribosomal RNA, 1434 nt
Filed under: uncultured organism
Description: 16S ribosomal RNA
Rfam family: Bacterial small subunit ribosomal RNA
Source: RNAcentral